GAAUUUAUAACUAGAAUAUACAGAAAUAAUUACUCCUGACAUUAUACUAUUCAGAUAUUAAUGCUUGCUUUCCUCUCUUCAUGGAAUUUCAAGUUUGACUAUUCAGUUACGUUG
This is a non-coding RNA of Brassica napus (rape), 114 nucleotides long. The record is from Rfam. NCBI's taxonomy places the organism in Eukaryota, Viridiplantae, Streptophyta, Magnoliopsida, Brassicales, Brassicaceae.